GUAAUGUCUGGGAAACUGCCUGAUGGAGGGGGAUAACUACUGGAAACGGUGGCUAAUACCGCAUAACGUCGCAAGACCAAAGAGGGGGACCUUCGGGCCUCUUGCCAUCAGAUGUGCCCAGAUGGGAUUAGCUAGUUGGUGAGGUAACGGCUCACCAAGGCGACGAUCCCUAGCUGGUCUGAGAGGAUGACCAGCCACACUGGAACUGAGACACGGUCCAGACUCCUACGGGAGGCAGCAGUGGGGAAUAUUGCACAAUGGGCGCAAGCCUGAUGCAGCCAUGCCGCGUGUAUGAAGAAGGCCUUCGGGUUGUAAAGUACUUUCAGCGGGGAGGAAGGUGUUGUGGUUAAUAACCGCAGCAAUUGACGUUACCCGCAGAAGAAGCACCGGCUAACUCCGUGCCAGCAGCCGCGGUAAUACGGAGGGUGCAAGCGUUAAUCGGAAUUACUGGGCGUAAAGCGCACGCAGGCGGUCUGUCAAGUCGGAUGUGAAAUCCCCGGGCUCAACCUGGGAACUGCAUUCGAAACUGGCAGGCUUGAGUCUUGUAGAGGGGGGUAGAAUUCCAGGUGUAGCGGUGAAAUGCGUAGAGAUCUGGAGGAAUACCGGUGGCGAAGGCG
This 617-nucleotide ribosomal RNA is filed under the name Salmonella enterica. Its description in RNAcentral is "bacterial SSU rRNA". It matches the Rfam family "Bacterial small subunit ribosomal RNA", at positions 110 to 723 of the family's 1533-position model. The record is from RNAcentral. Lineage: Bacteria; Pseudomonadati; Pseudomonadota; Gammaproteobacteria; Enterobacterales; Enterobacteriaceae. RNAcentral also lists the same sequence under 1 other name.